ACUGCUGCUGCUGCUGCUGCUGCUUUUAAAGAGCUGAAGAAUGAAGGCGCUGGACAACUGACGGUAUGACAGGAAACUCCAGUCUGCUGGCUGCAGUCCUGACUGUUGUGUCAGUGGUGUCACUGAGUAUACUGUCGCUUCUGUGUCUGCGAUGCAAGAGGAAAUCAAAGAUCAUCCAAGAGACAUCAAAUCAAAUAUAUGACCCACAGACAUU
Molecule: long non-coding RNA, 214 nt
Organism: Cololabis saira (Pacific saury)
Lineage: Eukaryota; Metazoa; Chordata; Actinopteri; Beloniformes; Belonidae
Exons: 3
Source: RefSeq, a predicted model, not a curated record